This is a long non-coding RNA of Macaca fascicularis (crab-eating macaque), 2372 nucleotides long. The record is from Ensembl. Lineage: Eukaryota; Metazoa; Chordata; Mammalia; Primates; Cercopithecidae.
UUUUUUUUUUUUUUUUUUGAGAUGGAGUCUUGCUCUGUCGCCCAGGCUGGAGUGCAGUGGCCGGAUCUCAGCUCACUGCAAGCUCUGCCUCCCGGGUUUAUGCCAUUCUCCUGCCUCAGCCUCCCGAGUAGCUGGGACUACAGGCUUCACCGCCCGGCUGGUUUUUUGUAUUUUUUAGUAGAGACGGGGUUUCACCAUGUUAGCCAGGAUGGUCUCGAUCUCCUGACCUCGUGAUCCGCCCAUCUCGGCCUCCCAAAGUGCUGGGAUUACAGGCUUGAGCCACCACGCCCGGCCUCAAUUUUUAAAUUUUUAGUAGAGACAGGGUUUCACCAUGUUGGCCAGGCUGGUCUCAAACUCCUGACCUCAAGUGAUCUGCCCACCUCCGCCCCACAAAGUGCUAGGAUUACAGGUGUGAGCCACCAUGCCUGGCCUCCAACUUUAUUCUUUUAAAUGUGGAUGUCUAGUUGUUCCAGAACUAUCUGUUAAAAAAGUUAUUCUUUCUCUAUUGGAUUAUUUUGGCAACCUUAUAAACAAUCAAUUGACCAUAAAUGUAUGAAUUUUUUUCUGGAUUGUCAGUUCUGUUCCAGUGAUCUAAACGUCUGUCCUUAUGCCAGUACCACACAGUCUUGAUUACUAUAGCUUCACAGUAAGUUUUCAAAUUAAGAAGUGUGAGUCCUCCAAAAUUGUUUUUAUUUUUCAAGAUUAUUUUGGCUGUUCUGGCUUCUUUGGAUUUUCAAAUGUAUUUUAGGGUCAGCCUUAAUCCCAACACUUUGGGAGGCUGAGGUGGGCGAAUUGCUUGAGCUCAGGAGUUCAAGAUUAGCAUGACAAAAUCCCAUCUUUUAAAAACAAAAGACAAAACAAAAGAAAAAUUAGCCAGGCUUGGUGGCAUGUGUCUGUGGUCCCAGCUACUUGGGAAGCUGAGGCAGGAGGAUCACUUGAGCCCAGGAGGUGGAGGUUGCAGUUGUAGUGAGCUGAGAUCACACCAUUGCCCUCCAGCCUGGACAAGCGUGAAACGUCUCAAAAAAAAAAUUAUUCCUAAACAUUUUAUUUUGUUUUUUUUUGAGACAGAGUCUUGCUCUGUCACCAGGCUGGAGUGCAGUGGCGUGAUCUCAGUUCAAGCCAUUCUCCUGCCUCAGCCUCCUGUGUAGCUGUGGCUACAGGUGCACACCACCACGCCCAGCUAAUUUUUGUGUAUUUAGUAGAGACGGGGUUUCAUCAUGUUGGCCAGAAUGGCCUCGAUGUCUUGACCUCAUGAUCUGCCCGCCUUGGCCUCACAAAGUGCUGGGAUUACAGGCAUGAGCCACUGUGCCCGGCCAACUUUAUUCUUUUUGAUGCUGGCCUUUGUCCUUCGUCUUUCAAUAGGAUGACCUCAUCAUUAACAUAAUACUGUCUGGAGAUGUUUCCUUGGUUGUAAAAUGAGAAGCCUAGGGAGAUUAUUUUUAUGAUUCCUUAGUUGUCCCCCUCCCCUCCACUUUUCAAUGUUUAGUCUGUAUUUUGAGUUUGCUUGAAAGAGGUCCCUACGACAUAUCCGCUGGUUAAUCUGCAGCCAUCACUGGGGCUUCUCUACCAUAAAGGAGAUAAAGGACAUGGAGAGCAAUGGCUUUGGAGUCCAACAGGCUAUUGUCCUGGUAAGCCUUUUACUGGCCAUGUGAUCUUGAGGACGUUAUUUCACCUGAGCUUGUUUUUCAUUUGUUGAGUGAGGUUGUUACUGAGGAUUCAAUAGGCGAAGUGAAUGACAGCACCUGGAGCACUGCUAGCCUACUAGGCCCAUUUCAUAGAUUGACGUGCUAUAACAGCCUGGGAGGGUCUCACUUGGCCACCCUAGCAGAAGUGCAGUGCCACAAUCAUGGCUCACAGCAGCCUCGAUGUCCUGGGCUCAAGCAAUCCUCCCCCGUCAGCCUCCUAAGUACCUGGGACUCCGGUGUGUGCCACCAUGCCUUGUUUUUUUUAUAAAUUAUUUUUUAUCUUAGAGAUGGGGCUCUCACUCUGUUACCCAGGCUGGUCUCCCAACUCCUGGCCUCAAGCAAUCCUUCCUCCCUCAGCCUCCCACAGUGCUGGGAUUACAGGUGGAAACCUGCACCUGGCCUCUUCCUUUCAUUGUGAACAUCCAAAAAACUACAAACGUUGAAAUCAUCUUCUUGUAUUGCUGACUCUGGAUUAAUCCAUAUCUUCUACCUCCAUAACACGAUUUCUGAUCUGGGCAAGGGCAGCUUUUCCCCCCUGCCCUUUUUUUUUUUUUUUUGAGAUGGAGUUUUGCUCAUCUCCCAGGCUGGAGUGCAGUGGCGUGAUCUUGGCUCACUGUAACCUCUGCCUCCUGGGUUCAAGUGAUUCUCCUGCCUCAGCCUCUUGAGUAGCUGGGAUUUCCAGUGCCC